UUGGUGUGAUUACUCUUGCAGCAAGUAAAACAGCGCGUGUCUCAUACUCUGUGGGCCGGAAGUCGGGGGAGCUGAUCACUCUCCCCGACACUUUCUGUCAGUCAUUUCUGCAGUCUGUUGAUAACAAGGCUGAAUACCAUUACCCAGACGGUGGGAAAAGGUGUUGUGAACCAGGCAGGUACCAAGAGCAAGUAGAAUUAGCGAAAAUGGCACUCGACGGACGUUCCCAGCUGCAUAAGUGUAUUCUGUUUGUCAUCAAUAUCGUGUUGGGCCUUAUUGGCUUUGCAAUAAUGGUACUUGGAAUGUGGGUGAGAUUCAGCGCUCAGACAAGUGGAUUCUUCAGUGUCGAUCUGAACACGACAUCCAUUGUCACCGUGGUGACCCUGUUGAUCGUUCUUGGCCUAUUAAUGACGGUGAUCUCUGCAUUCGGGAACUAUGGAGCCUGUAAUGAGAGUAAAGGUGCCCUGACUGUGGU
Non-coding RNA from Paramormyrops kingsleyae, 475 nucleotides. Lineage: Eukaryota; Metazoa; Chordata; Actinopteri; Osteoglossiformes; Mormyridae. The record is from RefSeq and is a predicted model, not a curated record.